UACGUAGGGUGCAAGCGUUGUCCGGAAUUAUUGGGCGUAAAGAGCUCGUAGGCGGUUUGUCGCGUCUGCUGUGAAAACUCGGGGCUUAACCCCGGGCCUGCAGUGGGUACGGGCAGACUAGAGUGCGGUAGGGGGGACUGGAAUUCCUGGUGUAGCGGUGAAAUGCGCAGAUAUCAGGAGGAACACCGGUGGCGAAGGCGGGUCUCUGGGCCGUAACUGACGCUGAGGAGCGAAAGCGUGGGGAGCGAACAGG
Molecule: ribosomal RNA, 253 nt
Filed under: uncultured bacterium
Lineage: Bacteria
Description: partial 16S ribosomal RNA
Rfam family: Bacterial small subunit ribosomal RNA
Source: RNAcentral